GAUGAACGCUGGCGGCGUGCCUAAUACAUGCAAGUCGAGCGAACAGACGAGGAGCUUGCUCCUCUGACGUUAGCGGCGGACGGGUGAGUAACACGUGGAUAACCUACCUAUAAGACUGGGAUAACUUCGGGAAACCGGAGCUAAUACCGGAUAAUAUAUUGAACCGCAUGGUUCAAUAGUGAAAGACGGUUUUGCUGUCACUUAUAGAUGGAUCCGCGCCGCAUUAGCUAGUUGGUAAGGUAACGGCUUACCAAGGCAACGAUGCGUAGCCGACCUGAGAGGGGUAACGGCCAAAAUGGAAACGAGAAAAGGGCCAAACUCCUAAGGGAGGCAGGAGUAGGGAAUCUUCCGCAAUGGGCGAAAGCCUGAAGGGGGAAAGCCGGGGGAGUGAAGAAGGGUUUCGGAUCGUAAAACUCUGUUAUUAGGGAAGAACAAAUGUGUAAGUAACUAUGCACGUCUUGACGGUACCUAAUCAGAAAGCCACGGCUAACUACGUG
RNAcentral lists this ribosomal RNA (497 nucleotides) under uncultured bacterium. RNAcentral describes it as "partial 16S ribosomal RNA". It matches the Rfam family "Bacterial small subunit ribosomal RNA", at positions 28 to 507 of the family's 1533-position model. The record is from RNAcentral.